AACAAAGGUGGCUGCGUCCAGCGGUAACGCGGCGCCGAUGCGGCAAGAAGAGUGAUGCUUUCGCAUUGGGAGUGACGCAGUUCCAAGCAGAUUUACGCCGACAUAGUGGUGAUGUGCAAUGUCAACGUCCCAGCCUAUGACCAUGAAACAGUGCUCGCGAUUUCGAUGCGGCCAGCAAGGCUGCGGCUGCUAAAAGAUGGUGUAGCGCGUAGCAGCAGGACGAAGGACCCAGAGACGACGAAGACGCGGCGAUGAAAGUAUUCAUAAGGUUUAUGUAAAGUUAUAAAACCUCCCAGUUCUUGGCCAGUCCACCACAGUGGGUGUGAACCACAGUGUUUCGGCGAGCAAGAUCAAUAGGUAGUCGAUAGUCUCGAUCGAUGGGUGAGCCCUGCAAGUAGAAGCUCAAGUGCUCGCUGGUCAGCUUGGUAGAAUAAUGUGAACGUGGACUCAGCAAUACAUUUCACAACAAUCCACUGACGACAGAGGUAGCCGCGAUUUUUGGCUGCACGGUUGUGGAUAACAAAGCAGAAAGUGUUGUAUGUGAACUCUACGACGAAAGGACUUGCGGAGCGAAGCAUUCGCGGAGAUGUUAAUGCACCAACGGGAGUGACGGUUGGCGAAUUUGAGCAGAUGCGACUAUGACAGGAAGUUAGCGUAGUACGUGUCAACGAAAGUAUAGACGUCCUGUACACAUGCGAACUUCCUCACCACUUGGAGGUGUCCUCUCAAGUAUGCAUGCCCAAACAUGGGAAGGUGUCUUGUGUAGCAGCCACCGAGUGCACACGGCACAGCUUUCCACAUGAGAAGGAAAAACCACUAAAGAACACUUGUACUGGUCAGACUACUGCAGCAAGCUUUUUCUGCCGAAGAGCAACUUAGACAGCCACCUAUGUAGCAUCACCGGCAACAGACCAUUCCGCCACCACCUCCGCUCCAUGGGCUUCGCACAGAAACACUGCCUUUUCCACCACGUACGAGGACCCUCAGACAAAGAAUCAUUUCAGUGUUAUGUUUGCCCAGCAACUUCCAGCCACAUGUUGUAUUGGACAAAGUGCGAAAAGAAAGUUCAUGUGCGGCAGGUCAUGCAUUUUCCGCAGAACUUGCAUAGAAUUAAGCAGCGCUCAAGCAAAGUGGUAUAGAAAGCUUACGUGUGCCAUGUGAAACUCCGGGUGAAAACUAGUUCUACUCUGCAGAGAAGUUGUGCAUGGGAACUCAACCACAGUACUGAACAUUACAUGGAUGCUAACACUCCUGAAGACGUACAAGAGUUUUUUUCCAUUCUAGAUUGUACUAUUAAAGGGAUGCUAAAGAGAAAAAUAAUUUUUCUCAUAUUAGUAAAUUACUCUUUUGCAAUUCCAAAAUCUCCAUGCUUGCCGCGAGACGAUGCUUGGUAAGUGAGAAAACGCGCAUAAGGAAAAUGCGGGUGGCAUGCUAUCUUGAUAUUCCCACACCAAAUGUCGUGACGUCAUGUAUUUUGACGGCAUCUACCAGGUCUUGCGUAGUUCCUAAUCAGUAAAAAAGAAAUACAUAGUCUUCAGAGGGGGGGCAUAGACUUAACAUACCAAGUUUCAGGAAAUUUCGUGGAGCCAAUGUUGUCAAAAUACAAAAAAUACACUUUGAAAUCCAUGAUGUUAUGCGCGGAGAUUUCGGUGAGACAUUUAAAAAUUCAACGUUUACCUUGAUUUUCUCCUCCACUAGUAAACCUAUAAUGGUGAAAUUAACAAUAUUAGAGUUCCCAGAGUACAAUUAAUCAAUCUAAACAGAUUCAUUGUUUCACUUUAGUGUCCCUUUAACAGUGUCUUGAAUAUUUACUGCGGUUCUGUACAGUUACUCUUUCUGUAGUUGUGAUAAAUGCGAAUGUUUAUGUAACACCCAACGCAAUUUAUGGUACAUUGCUUUCUCAUCUUGUUACUGCCACUGACAUUAUUUCUUGUUCAUCGGACUUGUGAAUUUACUGACUUUGUGCUUUUUGCAAAAUGCUGCCUUGUGUUUUGAAAACAACACGUAGGAUUUAGGCGGGUCUUUUCAUCGCAGUGUUUCGUUAUUGAAAGCUCAGCGUCUGCUUACCAAAUAGCAUCAGCUGCUGUGUCGCAGUCAACAUAAAACAUUUCUCUUCUCAGUUCAACAUUAGUCUGCAGUUCUUUAUUCCACCGAACCCCAUGUAGGCAAAAUGUAUUUGUUGUCUGUUGACUAUGUUGCAUGUGUGAGUUUUUUAAGUGUUUUCACUGCAACUAGUUGUGUCUCAGUAUCCUUGGAAUUCAUUAGAUUACGAUUUACCUGUACACGUAUUUGCACACAACAGCAUUUUUUUUUUCCAUUGCAUGAGGUGCUCAGCCAAAUGUCCAUAACCACUAGACCGCCAUGGUGGUCUAGUGGUUAUGGCACUCGGCUGCUGACCGUAAGGUCGCGGGAUCAAAUCCCGGCUGCCGUGGCUGCAUUUUCGAUGGAGGCUAAGGCCCUUGUACUUAGAUUUAGGUGCAUAUUAAAGAAGCCCAGGUGGUCAAAAUAUCCAGAGCCCUCCAUUACGGCGUCCCUCAUAAUCAUAUCGUAGUUUUGGGACAUUAAACCCAAGAUAUUAUUAUUAUAGUUUUCAUUGCAUGCAUUGGCAGUUUACCAUUUUCCAGUAUAUCAAGAAAAUAGAGGUGCUGAAGAGGCUGUUUUUAGCAGUGCAAUUAUGUCAUAUCGCAGUAUAGUGUAUAAGCAGUGUAAUCAUAUCGUGGUUUUGGGACAUUAAACCCCAACGAUUAUUGUUAUUAAGUGUUUUGCUGUUCUUAUAUUAAUAAGGACAUUUUAUCCAGUACAUUUGUGGAACCGGUGCUACAGUUUGGCACUUCAUCAUGUUUGUCUUGAGAAUCCUGUCAGUGUUUUGUGUACUGCUAUCUCCUUAACUGCCAUCUAGUUUAGCCAGUUGCACCUUAUACUACACUCGGUUACAACCCAAGAAAAAAUGUCAGCUCCGCCCACAGCCAUGUCCCUCCCACUCAAAAUUUGCAUAGAUGUUCCAUCCAAUAGCACUUACUCAAUUUUGCGACAUCAAGCACUCCUCGAGUGUUUCAGAUAGUUGACUUUCCGAUACACACGUUUGUGUCGCUGCUUAUAGGUGGGACACUUGAACGUCUUACUAAAUUUUGUCAGGGAUUCUGACAUCGCUGCUUGACCAAGGAGAAUGUUUUAGGCAGUAACAACGAAACUUUAACUAUUAAUAUGCAUAGUACUUACAUUAGCCGAGAAAGAGUGCUUACUGUUCUUGCGGAAACCAACUAGCACGACAGUCAUUCACAGUUGAAUGGCAGGCGCGCUAUGGUUCUGCAGGCAAAGCCUACAUUCUUUUUUUUUUGGGUGUAACCGAGUAUAGCUACCUCACUCUCAUUUUCGUGUAAUUUUUUUUUGCUAAAAUGAUGCCGCUUUCCAUUGCCCAGAAUUCCUCCUUGUGUGUCACCUCCCUGCCGCACCAUCGCCCCCAGGCUCUAAGAGCGGAAAAGAGCUGCAGCGAUGUCUCGUGUGUGGUUACACCACGCCUUACGCCCAUGUCAUGAGGAAUCACCACAAGAGACACACGGACGAGCGGCCGUUCAAGUGUGCACAGUGCAACAAGGGCUUUAAACGGAAGGGCCAUCUGGCUGAGCACCUCUAUAUCCACUCCGGUGAAAAAACCUUCAAGUGCCACCUCUGUCCUAGUGACUUUGCCCAGAAGGCGGGCCUUGUGCACCACUUGAAAAAACACAAG
Long non-coding RNA from Rhipicephalus sanguineus (brown dog tick), 3727 nucleotides. RefSeq lists it as uncharacterized. The transcript is spliced from 2 exons. NCBI's taxonomy places the organism in Eukaryota, Metazoa, Arthropoda, Arachnida, Ixodida, Ixodidae. The record is from RefSeq and is a predicted model, not a curated record.